RNAcentral lists this ribosomal RNA (169 nucleotides) under uncultured bacterium. RNAcentral's name for it is "partial 16S ribosomal RNA". It matches the Rfam family "Bacterial small subunit ribosomal RNA", at positions 338 to 524 of the family's 1533-position model. RNAcentral also lists the same sequence under 1 other name. The record is from RNAcentral.
CCUACGGGAGGCAGCAGUGGGGAAUAUUGCACAAUGGGGGAAACCCUGAUGCAGCGACGCCGCGUGAAGGAAGAAGUAUCUCGGUAUGUAAACUUCUAUCAGCAGGGAAGAAAAUGACGGUACCUGACUAAGAAGCCCCGGCUAACUACGUGCCAGCAGCCGCGGUAAU